Molecule: ribosomal RNA, 371 nt
Filed under: uncultured bacterium
Lineage: Bacteria
Description: bacterial SSU rRNA
Rfam family: Bacterial small subunit ribosomal RNA
Source: RNAcentral
UACGGAGGGUGCAAGCGUUAUCCGGAUUCACUGGGUUUAAAGGGUGCGUAGGCGGGCUGAUAAGUCAGUGGUGAAAGCUCCGAGCUUAACUUGGAAACUGCCAUUGAUACUGCCAGUCUUGAAUGUCGUAGAGGUAAGCGGAAUGUUGCAUGUAGCGGUGAAAUGCUUAGAUAUGUUACAGAACACCAAUUGCGAAGGCAGCUUACUAUGCGCUGAUUGACGCUGAGGCACGAAAGCGUGGGAGCAAACAGGAUUAGAUACCCUGGUAGUCCACGCCCUAAACGAUGAUUACUCGAUGUUGGCGAUACACUGUCAGCGUCUUAGCGAAAGCGUUAAGUAAUCCACCUGGGGAGUACGCUCGCAAGAGUGAA